GCGAAGGGCCGAUUUCAAGAACAUCUUUGCCCUGUCAAGCACUUACCUACCUAAGAAGUGUUGGUGAAACCAGUUUGUCCUCUACUUCAGUAUAGACUAAGCAAUAAAGGGCUCUGCUGCCUGCUCCUGAAGACUAGACUACAAAUGAGGGGAAAACAAAGUCUCCCGCCUAUGCUCCUAUAUUCCCAGAAACACACAAACGUUUAAACGUCUGCUUCAUGCCUGAAACAAAGAGAAAAAUAAGUAGAAGAAAUUAUUGAAAUGAGAAAUUCAGAUAUUGAAUGUGUUGAAUUGCUUGAAAGGUUACGUUUCUCUUUGUUGUGGCUACAUAUAUUAAGAAGAUUUGCUGCUGGAGAACAUCUAUGCUGGAAGUCUGGUUGCUGAUAGACAGCAGUAGUUUUUCUCCACAGCAAUUUAAGGAAGAAUAAUUAACUCCGAAAGGCUCAGAAUUUAAACAGUGUGUCUAGAGUGCAGCUGGAGGGAGCAGAAUAGGCAGCAGACCCAGACCUAUAUUUUAUAGAUGUUUUCCAACACUUUAUAUUUAUUUUACUCUUCUAUAUAACUGUGAUCAGAUAGGUUUUGGACAGAACCAAAUAAGACAUUGUCAUGAACAGCAUCACACCGUGCUCCAGGACAGAAACUUCUUUGGAGAGGGAGAGAAGGACAGAGCUCCUUUGUUUGAGAGACGCUUUUGACAACCAAAGGUUUACACAGACACACAUACUCAGGAAGCCGUAAGCAGCCCUCUGCUGCCAGUUCAGUGACUCAGCAUGCCAAAGAGCAGGGAAAUGCUAGGGUCUGGCAAAAUACUUCUUCCAGGGAAUCAAAUCAGAGAUACCUCUUCUAUUUGAUCUCUGUACUUUUUCUGCAUCACAGAGUUUUCAUAUAGAUAGUGGGUCGGAUUGCAUCACAGAAAAAUCAGAUUACAUUGUAAAAGUCAAGGCUGCCUAAAUAUAUAGUUAUCAUUUGUAUUUAGGUGAAAUUAUUAAAGAUGGUUUAAAUCUAGCAAAGGCCCAAGAAGUGGGGUUUUGCAGCUGCCAUUCACGAUGGCACAUUCUUGCCAUUUGAGAAAUAAAGUUUGCAUUCCUAAUUUUAUUUCUCCUUUGAUGAGACACUCUCACUGACUGAUCAGCUAUACCCGUGGAGAUCAUUCUGUCAAAACAUUUGUUCAUGAUCUGGCAGCUCUAACAAGCAAGUCCAAUGACUGAAUGGAGCAGGGGAGCUGUGCUAAAUGGUUGAAUCUCUCUCAUGUCUGAAUGACAUUUGGCAAACACUGCCACAUUCUCUUAUUGAUGUGCUUACUAACUUCAUUGAAUGUUAUUGGAAAAGAUACAUGCUCACUGAAGAAUGACAGGAGACAUAUCUCAUUUAAAGCAGAGCCCUUGCUCUUGUGCAUGUUGUAAUACAUUUCUUCUUGCAGCCAAGAGCCACAGGCUGGCCCAUGUUUCCUAUACUUGUGAACUAUGACUGGGUUUCUCCAGUAACACGUUGUUUAAAGCUAUAUCUUACUCUUUUUCCUUGCUCUUUCUUUUCUUGCACUUCAGUUUACGAAUUACAAAUUUUAUUUGAUUUCAGUGCUAUUUGUUUUCAGGAGAAGGGGCAGAGAUUUCUGUGUAAUGUUCUCCAAUUUAUAUGAGCAGAAUCUUACUGGAUUGGCUUUAAUUUUCAUGCUAAUGGUUUGCUAUGCCGAGGCAUUAUAAAAUGACAACUCAUUCAUGGGAGGCCCAUCUUUGCCUGCCAUCAUACAGUCCCUGUCUCCUCUGAGAUGGCCUAUGAGCUCUCUCCCACUCUUGGGUCUGAUAAGCCAAAUGGCCGUGGCCACUAAUACCAUGGUUUGUGGAAUACCUAUGAUUUGUAAGCCCAGUAGGCUCAGGUAGAUUGCAGGAUAAGAAAUGGGAGACUCUGUCAGCUAGGAUCCCUGUGGUCCUUGGGGUCUACCUUCUCCCUUUCCACAGCUGGCAGGCAGGAGGAAAGCAACCAUAGCUUCAGCUCUGCUUUCUGGGGUUACUUUUAUUUGCUGUCAUUACAGUUAUUUGCUGCCAUUACCAUGCAGAGACAGGUAUGUGAAUCUUGGGUGAGCUGGUGUCAUGCCAGGAAUUGUGAUAUCCCCCAAAGCAGGGCAUCUCCGGGAACCAAAUCUUGCUCCUGGCUGUGCAGAAAUCUCAGUCCCCAGAGAUCCCCAGAGGUUGUAUAAAAUGUGGGAGAGGCACAUUGCUAAACUCCAUUUUUCUGAACAAAAAUUUUCAUCCUAGAAAUGAGCUCAAAGGAAGCUGGUAGAAAUAAAUACAAUGAGUACACAGGCAAGUAUGGUGUUAGACUGUCACUGGGAACCUGUGUUCCUGCAGAGCUGAUUCCUCUUUCUGAUAUUAAGGGUCUCAAAUCUUGUCUGUAUAUUGACUUAUUCAUUAAUAGUUUGUGUGUAUGAAUAAUUCACCAUCUACAUACCAUAUCUCUACUUUAAAUGCAUUACAAAGCAUAUAUUAGACAGAGAUUGACCUCUACUGUGGUUAACAUUAAGAUUUAUUGUUCCAGGAAGCUCCAGAUAUAUUGACUUGAAUCAAAGCCUAGAGGUUCAAUUAAAGUUGAUACUGUAUUAACAAAAGGCCACAAGUCACAUUUCUUCUGUACUCUGCUUUGUGAAGGAUGUCAGUUCCCUUUCUUUAAUUUUUCUUCCACUGAGGCUGAAGUGUAACUGUAAUCAUAA
Cuculus canorus (common cuckoo) is the source of this 2704-nucleotide long non-coding RNA. RefSeq lists it as uncharacterized. The transcript has 3 exons. The record is from RefSeq and is a predicted model, not a curated record. NCBI's taxonomy places the organism in Eukaryota, Metazoa, Chordata, Aves, Cuculiformes, Cuculidae.